UACGUAGGGUGCAAGCGUUAAUCGGAAUUACUGGGCGUAAAGCGUGCGCAGGCGGUUGUGCAAGACAGAUGUGAAAUCCCCGAGCUCAACCUGGGAAUUGCAUUUGUGACUGCACGGCUAGAGUGUGUCAGAGGGGGGUAGAAUUCCACGUGUAGCAGUGAAAUGCGUAGAGAUGUGGAGGAAUACCGAUGGCGAAGGCAGCCCCCUGGGAUAACACUGACGCUCAUGCACGAAAGCGUGGGGAGCAAACAGG
Molecule: ribosomal RNA, 253 nt
Filed under: uncultured bacterium
Lineage: Bacteria
Description: partial 16S ribosomal RNA
Rfam family: Bacterial small subunit ribosomal RNA
Source: RNAcentral